UUUGAUAGUUGAAAUUAAACUAUGACGAAACUAGAAGCUACCUCGGCGUUGAUGGUUGAUUUGUCGAUUUCCAUUGAUCCAUAAGUGCAGUUAUGAUGGAUAUAAGCACAAACACAAGACCCAAGAUAAUUAAGUUCUUCAUUACAAGAAAUCUUGCUUGAUUCCCAUGACUAAUGACUUGUACUCAUUGAGCCUAGAAUUCUCUCUUUUAGCAAGUUGUGGAAUUUAAGUUCAUUGCUCUUAUAAUAAUAGCUAGAAAUAAAUAAAAGAGUUAAAUGUCAUUUUAGUCUCUGUGGUUUGGGACAUUUUGCCAGUUUAGUCCAAAGGUUUGAAACGUUACCAUUAUAGUCCAAAUAGUUUAAAACGUUGCCAUUUUAGUCCAUUAGGUUAACUUUAUCCCAUUUUUCUGUUAACGAGAAGGACAAUUCAAAAUCUUCACAUUCCUUUUUCAAAAUCGAAAAUAAAAGAUAAAUUAAUAACAUACCUUUCCUUUUCUCCCUUCACUUUCUUGCAUCUCCACAUUCUUUUUUUUUUUUUUUUUUUUCAUUUAGAUCUUAAAGAAUGCUACGUUUGAGUUUUAAAUAAUCGGUUGUUAAUUUAUUUUAUUAAGUUCUAUAAAAAUAGGUAGGACAGAAAUUUUGUUAGAUUAAUAUGAUAUGAUAUUGAUUCACAACUCUCCUAGUUUCCUUUUAAUAUUUGUUUAAAAUAAAAAUAAAAAAAUGGGUUUUAUUAAGUCAACACACUAGGGAAAAAAAAACAUGAAAAUAGAUACAAAGAAUGCAUAAAAAUAUAUACUUUUAGUUCAUUUUUUCUAAAUCUAUUUUAGCAACAUGAAAUACCAGAAUCUUUCGAGAUUUGUAACAGUUUACGUUACUAGAAAAUAGACUUUCAUCAAAGAAACAAUCAC
This 907-nucleotide long non-coding RNA is filed under the name Helianthus annuus (common sunflower). RNAcentral describes it as "hypothetical non coding rna". The record is from RNAcentral. Lineage: Eukaryota; Viridiplantae; Streptophyta; Magnoliopsida; Asterales; Asteraceae.